AUUCUUUUCCACAAAAAUCACACACUAAAGUGUGUUGAACGGGAGGAAACGCAGAGAAGAGAAGAAAGGGAAGAAAAGAAAAAGAAAGGAAGAAAAAGAAAGAAGAAAGAAGAAAUCUUGUGCCAACUACUUCAAUCUUGUUUAUUUAAUUCUUCAAGAGGAGGGGAUUUGGACGUGGGAACAGCAUACCAGCCCCGUUAGUCCAGCCUAUACUUGAGGCUGUUGACUGAGCGGUGGUGGAGAUUAUUUUGAUAGUUUUGCAGCCAUUGCUAACACCAAUUGUAGGUUCUUUUGUUUGAAAUUGUGUAAUCAUCAAGUAAAAUAUUUACAUCAUAUUGGAGGAAAAUUAUUUUGGUAUUUAUAUACACCAAUGAUCAUGAUGUAAUAUUGUAAUCUAAACUGCUUCCUAUUAUCCUUUUGAGAGGCAGUUUUGACGUAUAUGUUAUGGAUGUUUUUGGUUAAACGAGCAAAUGAUAGUAUUAUGUUGGUAUUUUA
Long non-coding RNA from Olea europaea var. sylvestris, 495 nucleotides. RefSeq lists it as uncharacterized. The transcript is spliced from 3 exons. NCBI's taxonomy places the organism in Eukaryota, Viridiplantae, Streptophyta, Magnoliopsida, Lamiales, Oleaceae. The record is from RefSeq and is a predicted model, not a curated record.